AGGGAGUAGCUCAAAGGCAAUCUUGAUCAAUGGCUCACAACCACCUGUAACUCCAGCUACAGGGGAAUCCAAGACCUCUGGCCUCCUUGGGCACCUACACUCACAUGGACAUAUCUACCAAUGACGGACACACAUACACAUAAUUUAGAAAGGAGCGGGAGGAGAAGCCAGCCAGGACCGGGUAGUUUACUGCAGUCCAUGAGUACUGAGUUUGCUCCACAAUAUCACACUCACACACCAUAAAAACAGAAAAAUGGGCCAGGCGUGGUGGUGCACGCCUUUAAUCCCAGCACAUGGGAGGCAGAGACAGGAGGAUGUCUAAAUUCAAGGCCAGCCUGAUCUACAGAAUGAGUUCCAGGACAGCCAGGGCCACACAGAGAAACCCUGUCUCAAAAAAACUAAAAAAAAAAAAAAAAAAAAAAAAAAAAAAGAAAAAAAAAAUAGAAAAACGGAGCCAGCAAAACGGCCCUGAGGAUAAAGGUAAACACCCCACAUGCCCACAAGCCUGAUGAUCAGAAUUUGAUCCUUUGGCUCCACAUGGUGAAAAGGAAGAAUGAAUCCUGCAAACUAUCCUCUGACUCUUCAGCAAGCACCAUGUGUGUGCACAUAAAUAAAUAACUGAAACACACACACACACACACACACACACACACACACACACCAGACAGUUACAUGAAACAAGUGUGUGAGAGGAACUGCAGAUACUAAGAUGCUAAGACCAAGAAUAAAAAUACCAAGUAGAAAAGGCAGUAGAAAAGGUGCUAUUGGAGUUGAACUGAGAAAUGUGUUUGUGGUGCUGAGGAUUGAACCCAGGGUGUUGGGCGUGCCUGGCAAAUGCUCUGCCACUGAGGUACAUCCCAGCCCUGGAAACAAACACGUUAACAACACAUUCAGACCAGUGGAUUCCCUCAGAAAUAGCCCAUUUUAGCUCUUGAAUAAAGACCCAGAGACCUGUUAUUUUUAUUAACAAGCUGCGUGCACUAAGCUGGGCAGGCUCGGAGCUAUUCUAAGCCGUAGCCUGCCCAGUUCCCAGCCCUGGGUCACUCUGGUCUGUGUGUAUCCUCAUGGCUGCUCUCUCGUUGCGAAUCCUGGUCCCUCCACAUGGUCUCUCCACACCUUCUCCUUCUCGAGGUCUUUCUCAACCUUCUGUGGUCUCUCUGGAACCUCUCACUGGGAUUGGAAGUCCUGUCCCAGUCUCUUUUGCUCAGCUAAUUGGCUGAUCAGCUCUUUAUUAAACUAAUUAGCAUAGAGAAGAAUUUUACAUAACUCUGAGACAGGUGAUGCUUC
RNAcentral lists this long non-coding RNA (1287 nucleotides) under Mus musculus (house mouse). RNAcentral describes it as "long non-coding RNA chr4:126267705-126268992". The record is from RNAcentral. Lineage: Eukaryota; Metazoa; Chordata; Mammalia; Rodentia; Muridae.